Molecule: ribosomal RNA, 253 nt
Filed under: uncultured bacterium
Lineage: Bacteria
Description: partial 16S ribosomal RNA
Rfam family: Bacterial small subunit ribosomal RNA
Source: RNAcentral
UACGUAGGGUGCAAGCGUUAAUCGGAAUUACUGGGCGUAAAGCGUGCGCAGGCGGCUUUGCAAGACAGAUGUGAAAUCCCCGGGCUCAACCUGGGAACUGCAUUUGUGACUGCAAGGCUAGAGUACGGUAGAGGGGGAUGGAAUUCCGCGUGUAGCAGUGAAAUGCGUAGAUAUGCGGAGGAACAUCGAUGGCGAAGGCAAUCCCCUGGACCUGUACUGACGCUCAUGCACGAAAGCGUGGGGAGCAAACAGG